UAGUCAUAUGCUUGUCUCAAAGAUUAAGCCAUGCAUGUCUAAGUACGAGCCUCGGUACACGGUGAAACUGCGAAUGGCUCAUUAAAUCAGUUAUGGUUCCUUUGAUCGUUACCCCUUACUUGGAUAACUGUGGCAAUUCUAGAGCUAAUACAUGCCUACCUCGGCGCUGACCUCGCGGGAUGCGUGCUUUUAUUAGGACCAAGACCGACCCGGUGUCCUGCCUCCUUCGCGGGUGGUGGGCCCGGUCCUCCUGGCGAACUCUGGAUAACUUGGCGGAUCGCACGGCCUCUGCGCCGGCGACGAAUCUUUCGAGUGUCUGCCCUAUCAACUUUCGACGGUACGUUAUGCGCCUACCGUGGUGGCAACGGGUAACGGGGAAUCAGGGUUCGAUUCCGGAGAGGGAGCCUGAGAAACGGCUACCACAUCCAAGGAAGGCAGCAGGCGCGCAAAUUACCCAUUCCCGACACGGGGAGGUAGUGACGAAAAAUAACGAUACGGGACUCUUUGGAGGCCCCGUAAUCGGAAUGAGCACAGUCCAAAUCCUUUAGCGAGGAUCCAUUGGAGGGCAAGUCUGGUGCCAGCAGCCGCGGUAAUUCCAGCUCCAAUAGCGUAUAUUAAAGCUGCUGCAGUUAAAAAGCUCGUAGUUGGAUCUUGGUCCGCGGGCGGGCGGAAGUUCUCCGUACGAGUGGGUCUUCGCUGCCCGUCCCGGACUCUCCUCCGGUCCUCUCCCGGUG
This 734-nucleotide ribosomal RNA is filed under the name Saccoglossus sp. 1 JTC-2014. RNAcentral describes it as "SSU rRNA". It matches the Rfam family "Eukaryotic small subunit ribosomal RNA", at positions 21 to 723 of the family's 1831-position model. Lineage: Eukaryota; Metazoa; Hemichordata; Enteropneusta; Harrimaniidae. The record is from RNAcentral.